Molecule: ribosomal RNA, 863 nt
Filed under: Anelosimus domingo
Lineage: Eukaryota; Metazoa; Arthropoda; Arachnida; Araneae; Theridiidae
Description: partial 16S ribosomal RNA
Source: RNAcentral
UAAUCAUUUGUUUUUUAAUUAAAAACUAGAAUGAAAGGUUAUACAUUCAAAUUUCUUUAUUAAUUUUUUAUAAAUAAUUUAUAUUAAAUAUAAAAAUAUAUUUUUAAAUAAAAAAGACGACAAGACCCUAUUAAAUUUAACUUAUAGUUUAGCUGGGGAAGCUUUUUAAAUAAAAUUUUUAUAUAAUUUUUAAAAAUAUAUUUAAUAAAAUUAAAAAUAAAAUAAAUUACUAUAGGGAUAACAGCGUUAUAUUUUUUAAAAGUUCUUAUUUAAAAAAAUGAUUGCGACCUCGAUGUUGAAUUAUAUUUUCUAUAUUAAUGCAAUAAUUAUAAAAGUAGAUCUGUUCGAUCUUUAAAAUAUUACAUGAUUUGAGUUCAAACCGGUGUAAACCAGGUUGGUUUCUAUCUUUUUAUAUAUAUAUAUAUUUUUUUAGUACGAAAGGAAAAAAAAAUUUUUAUUUUAAUUAUUUAGCAAAUUAAUAUGCAUUAGAUUUAGAAUCUAAAUAAAAUAUUAUUUUUUAAUUAAUUCUUUUAUAUCUAUUAUUAUACUUUUAAUUUCAGUUGCAUUUUAUACAAUUUUAGAACGAAAAAUUUUAAGAUAUAUUCAAAUUCGAAAAGGUCCAAAUAAAGUAGGUUUUAUAGGAAUUUUACAACCAUUUAGUGAUGCUAUUAAAUUAUUUAAUAAAAAUUUAAUUUCACUUGAAAGAAUAAAUUUUAUAUUAUCAUAUUCAACUCCAGCAUUAUCUUUAAUUUUAAUAAUAAUAAUUACCUCUAUAUUACCUAUAUAUAUUUAUUCUACAUUUGAUAAUAAAAAUAAUAUUUUAAUAUUUUUUGUAAUUUCAAGAUUAGCAGUUUAUUCUAUUU